Musa acuminata AAA Group (dessert banana) is the source of this 2732-nucleotide long non-coding RNA. RefSeq lists it as uncharacterized. The transcript has 3 exons. Lineage: Eukaryota; Viridiplantae; Streptophyta; Magnoliopsida; Zingiberales; Musaceae. The record is from RefSeq and is a predicted model, not a curated record.
AAGCCCCAAGGGGAAAGGAAAGCUGAAGGACGAUGGCAGAGGAAACGGGCCCCACAUCCCAUGCUCAUGUGAAACUGUGCGGUCAUAUCGAUGAGAGAGAAAGCAAAGCCAUGAUGGAAGACAGCAAUCAAUCUUCCAGUCUGGAAUUAUUCUCGUUCGUGGCGUACGCUACCAGAGACCGCAAGGCUUGUCAUCGGCAUCAUGCCCUCCACCGCCUCCACGCUUUGUAUUGUAAUCAACAUAAGUAUAAUGGCUCUCGCUUUCAGUGCAAGUGCUUAUCGAUCUCAGUAGAGACGAAGGAGGGAGAGUAUUUUGCAAGACUGGUGCGUGGGACGGGUUGGUAUGAAGCAUGUGAUGGGUCCUCCCUUGUGCCGGAAGAAACGAGCUGUGGUAGGUAGGCUCGGCCCCCUGGUAUUCAUAAGCUAAUGGAUUGCAGUUGGGAAGGGGACAAGGCGUGGGGACGGCGUGACUGUUCUCUUCAUGUGGAGGAUGAUGGCGUUUUAUGCGCAUUCAUUGGGAUCGCUGUUUGUACACAUGGGUUUGGUAGAGUGUUAAAUGUGUAAGAAAGGAUAUCGUCACUUGGAUGAGCAACAGAGCCUUCACUUGGUAGCCAAACAGGUUAGUGUAGUGGAAGAAACAGAGCAGAGAGAACAGGAAAGACACAGCACAUUGCAUCAAACACCACAUGGGCUAACGGGGAAUGCAACGCCCGCGAUGUGUUCGGCAAAACGACCCACCGAUAAAAGACGCCUUGUGCUCGGCCCGGCCUGGCAGUCUUCCUUACAGCUCUUCUUUUUUUACAUUUUCCGGAAUAUUACCUCAAAUUCCAUGUCGAUUCUGUGUAGCAAAUAUAAACCUAUAGAUGAGGUUAAAAUUGAGUUAGACUAAUCAGGAUUAACAGAUUUGAGUUAGACUAACGAGGUUAAAAUUGAUGAUGACACUAAUUUGGCUGAACUCACUGUUGUUAGAGUCGUUCUAUUGCCAGAAUCAACGCCUGGAUCCCCAAUUCCCCUUCCCCGUGCGCCGAAAGCGAGACAUACAGGUGGGCGUACACCAUCCCCUCCAUCAACCCCACCAUCGUCGACGCGAUCGCAAUCUGGUUCCCGAGUUUGGCACUCUGCCCCUUGCCCUGCUCCGCCCUUGUACCUCGCCGUUCCCAUGCACCCCGAACAGCGGCCCCAGCUGCUCCGCCCGUCUACCAGCGAUCUCGGCUGCGAGGGUGAGGUCGCUGGUGGUCAUGUAGACGAGGAUGGAGCCCGGGGCCAGGCCGGAGAGAGCUCCUUCGGAGGGAUCGAGGGUGACUCGGCGGACGUCGGAACGGUAGCCGACGAUGAGGAAUACGACAUUGCUGGCGCGCGCUACGGCAGCGGAGGAGCCGGCGAGUUCGGCACCCCGAUCGAGUCCGUGAUGCCGGUCCCGAUCCAGCCGAUCCAGGUCGUGAUCGGGUAUAUGGUCGAUCUGUCGAGAGAGCAGCGGCCAUGGCGGAGCACCGACAGCGGAUCACGGAGCGAGGGCGGAGGAACGCCGGGAAGCGAGCGGGCAUCGGGAGUAUGAUCAGUGGCACAUCGGAUAUAUAGCUGGGUGUGUUCAAGAUGGUGAAGUUCACAGUGUAAAAGCUCCGGAAUAUGAUGGACAAGAAGCAUGACAUCCGCAACAUGUCUGUCAUUGUUCAUGUUGAUCAUGAAGACGAUGAGUAAUGAGAGAUGACAGAUGUUUCUUGGAGCUCCAGGUUGAAGGUGAGGAAGCGUAUCAGACAUUUCGACAGUGUCAUUGAGACUGCAGAUGUGGUCAUGGCUACCUACGAAGACCCCCUUCUUGGUGAUGUUCAAGUCCAUCCUGAGCACCGGACUGUUUUCUCUGCCGGAUUGCAUGGCUGGGCUUUGCCAAGAAGUAUGCAGCCAAAUUUGGAGUCGAUGAGUUGAAGAAUGAGUUGAAGAACACGGAUUCUCCUACCUGUAAGCGUUGUCCAACUUUGCUAUGAACCAACCGGGCAAAUCAUCGAUCUUUGCAUGACGGAUCAGAAAGAGAGGUGGUGGGUGACAUGCUGCAGAAACUUGGUGUCACCAUGAUAGCAGAGGAGAGACAACUGACGGGUAAAGCUUUAACGAAGAGGUUCAUGCAAGCUUGGCUGCCGGCAAGCGAUGCCCUUUUUGAGAUGAUAUCUUCCACCUUCCUUCUCCUGCCAAGGCACAAAAGUAUCGUGCGGAGAACGUGUACGAAGGUCCACUCGAUGAUGUGUAUACAAAUGCAAUCAGAAACUGUGAUCAGGACGGCCCUCUUAUGCCGUAUGUAUCGAAGAUGAUUCCAGCUUCGGACAAGGGCGGAUUCUUCGCUUUCAGACAAGUCUUUUCCUGGAAGGCUUCAACAGGAAGCAGAGUUCGAAUCAUGGGACGAAACUACGUUCCCGGGCAAAUGAAAGACCUGUACGUGAAGAGCGUCCAAAGAAGAGACAUAUAUGGAUGGGAAAGAUACAAGAGGCAGUCAAGGACGUGCCUGCCUUGUGGGAAUACAGUGGACAUGCUUGGAUUGGAUCAGUUCAUCACCAAGAAUGCGAACGAGGAGGAAGCCGAUGCUUUUCCGAUCAGGGCGAUGAAGUUCUCUGUAUCCCCUUUCGUACGUGUUGCCGUGCAUGUAAAAUUCUAAUCCAGUGAUAUUUUUAUGACACAUCUUCUAACCUCUUUUUUCUUAUGUAUUUUUUUAUCAUGUUCAAUACAAGAUCGGUUCUUGUAUCA